Nothobranchius furzeri (turquoise killifish) is the source of this 956-nucleotide non-coding RNA. Lineage: Eukaryota; Metazoa; Chordata; Actinopteri; Cyprinodontiformes; Nothobranchiidae. The record is from RefSeq and is a predicted model, not a curated record.
CACUCGCUGUGCUUUGCUAAUCUGAGAGAUCUCAGAGGAUUGUUGUGGGGCUUUAGGUACUUUAGCAUUGCACUGAGAAACCACAGGUACAUGAAGGGUUAGGGUUUGAACCGAGCCAGCUCAGGUAGACUGCACCAUAACUACUUCUGUACAGCCACGGGUUGAAGUCGUUUCGUGUCUAGGUGUAGUUUUUAAUGCGACCCAUACAGAAGAGGUCCCAGACCCACGCUGGGACGGCUCUAACUCCACACCGCUUCGUUCAUCGUCUCUGGGCCAGGCACGAGAGGUGACAGGACGGGUUAAAUGAAGCAUUACAGAUGAGUUCUGGGUGACUGAGCCUUUGCUCGUUUCAGUAGCAGCAGGUUGUCACAUUGGCUGUGUCUCAAUUCAGGGUCUGCAUCCUACGUCGGCCGGAUUCGUCGGCCGGUUACGUCACAGCGCCGCGACUCGGCCUGUCCCAAUUCGAAGACUCCUUUGAAUGCGGUCGACGAAUGCGGCCUUCUUUUCGCCUGAAUGAAGGAUGGGUCCGGUGUAUCCUUCAAUAGGUAGCAUUUCCCAAGAUGCCUUGCGGGCCGGCCGGCAGAAAAACUUAAAAACAAUGGCGGACAGUGAAGCGGGAGCUGUCGGAGAGGAUUGCGCAUAUAAAUGAACAAAAGAGAAAACCAGGGAAUUUAUUAAGCUUAGGGCGGAGAUGGACCACAUGAUCACCGGAGCAAAGUAUUCGGUGGCUGUGGCAUGGAGACUAUUCUGGAGAAAAUGGGCAUCCAGGGGAAGGUGCCAGCGAUGAGCUUCUGGAGCUGAUCUGGGAGGACAUGAGGCUGCAGAGCAGCAGAGGGCCCAGGAGAGAAGGGAGAACUUUGACAGCUUUUUACUUUGCUAGAAAAAAAUGGUUAAUAAAGAUUAAACAUGUACAUAUAAAAGAAAUAUCUAAAUAAAAUCAGUUCUGCAUUAAACUC